Molecule: long non-coding RNA, 159 nt
Organism: Protobothrops mucrosquamatus (brown spotted pit viper)
Lineage: Eukaryota; Metazoa; Chordata; Lepidosauria; Squamata; Viperidae
Exons: 3
Source: RefSeq, a predicted model, not a curated record
CUCCAAGAAAGUGGAACUGCAAUGUAUAACACUUCAGAGUUUCCUGCUGUGAUAAUAAAGAAGGAAGAACAGGAAGAUCGAUGGGUGCUGUAUCACCAGACCUCUGAAGGCAAUGGGGCUUUCCCAUCUGCUCAUUCAGAAGAGGAGCUGAGACAGAGC